RNAcentral lists this ribosomal RNA (612 nucleotides) under Cicindela (Rivacindela) sp. JP-23. RNAcentral's name for it is "partial 16S ribosomal RNA". It matches the Rfam family "Bacterial large subunit ribosomal RNA", at positions 1844 to 2739 of the family's 2925-position model. The record is from RNAcentral. Lineage: Eukaryota; Metazoa; Arthropoda; Insecta; Coleoptera; Carabidae.
UUUAAGGUCUAACCUGCCCAAUGAGGAUUUAAAUGGCCGCAGUAUUUUGACUGUGCAAAGGUAGCAUAAUUAUUAGUUUUUUAAUUGAAAGCUUGUAUGAAGGGUUGGACGAGAUGAAAUCUGUCUUUAUUUAAAUUAAAAUAUAAUUUAACUUUUAAGUAAAAAGGCUUAAAUGUUUAUAAAAGACGAGAAGACCCUAUAGAUCUUUAUUUAAUUAAAAUUUUAAUAAUUUAGGAUUAUUUUAAUUUAAAGUUUUGAUUAAAUUUUAUUGGGGUAAUAUAAAGAUUAAAUAAAUUCUUUUUAUUUAUAACAUUAAUUUAUGAAUGUAUGAUCCAUUAAUAUUGAUUAUAAGAUUAAGUUACCUUAGGGAUAACAGCGUAAUUUUUUUGGAGAGCUCGUAUCGAUAAAAAAGUUUGCGACCUCGAUGUUGGAUUAAAAAUUAGCUUGGGUGCAGAAGCUCAAGAUUUUGGUCUGUUCGACCAUUAAAUUUUUACAUGAUCUGAGUUCAGACCGGCGUAAGCCAGGUCGGUUUCUAUCUUUAUUAAAAUAAAAUAUUUUAGUACGAAAGGACCAAAUAUUUAAUAUAAUUAUAUUUAUUUUUUGAAGAAUAUU